GAUGAACGCUAGCGGGAGGCCUAACACAUGCAAGCCGAGCGGUAGAGAUUCUUCGGAAUCUUGAGAGCGGCGUACGGGUGCGGAACACGUGUGCAACCUGCCUUUAUCAGGGGGAUAGCCUUUCGAAAGGAAGAUUAAUACCCCAUACUAUAUUUGAUGGCAUCAUUAGAUAUUGAAAGCUUUGGCGGAUAGAGAUGGGCACGCGCAAGAUUAGAUAGUUGGUGAGGUAACGGCUCACCAAGACGAUGAUCUAUAGGGGGCCUGAGAGGGUGAUCCCCCACACUGGUACUGAGACACGGACCAGACUCCUACGGGAGGCAGCAGUGAGGAAUAUUGGACAAUGGGUUAGCGCCUGAUCCAGCCAUCCCGCGUGAAGGACGACGGCCCUAUGGGUUGUAAACUUCUUUUGUACAGGGAUAAACCUACUCUCGUGAGAGUAGCUGAAGGUACUGUACGAAUAAGCACCGGCUAACUCCGUG
Molecule: ribosomal RNA, 479 nt
Filed under: uncultured bacterium
Lineage: Bacteria
Description: partial 16S ribosomal RNA
Rfam family: Bacterial small subunit ribosomal RNA
Source: RNAcentral